RNAcentral lists this ribosomal RNA (253 nucleotides) under uncultured bacterium. RNAcentral's name for it is "partial 16S ribosomal RNA". It matches the Rfam family "Bacterial small subunit ribosomal RNA", at positions 74 to 334 of the family's 1533-position model. The record is from RNAcentral.
CAAACCAAAGCUGGCGACCGGCGCACGGGUGAGUACACGUAUCCAACCUGCCUCAUACUCGGGGAUAGCCUUUCGAAAGAAAGAUUAAUAUCCGAUAGCAUAUAUUUCCCGCAUGGGUUUUAUAUUAAAGAAAUUCGGUAUGAGAUGGGGAUGCGUUCCAUUAGUUUGUUGGGGGGUAACGGCCCACCAAGACUACGAUGGAUAGGGGUUCUGAGAGGAAGGUCCCCCACAUUGGAACUGAGACACGGUCCAA